ACGGCCGACACUCACCAGGACUUACCUGCAAUGGUUCCCCAGGUCCCUGAGGAGGUUUAGAGGGACUUACCUGGAUUGGUUCCCCAGGUCCCUGAGGAGGUUUAGGGGGACUUACCUGGAUUGGUUCCCCAGGUCCCUGAGGAGGUUUAGGGGGACUUACCUGCAAUGGUUCCCCAGGUCCCUGAGGAGGUUUAGGGGGACUUACCUGCAAUGGUUCCCCAGGUCCCUGAGGAGGUUUAGGGGGACUUACCUUCAAAGGGUUGCAAGGUCCCUGAGGAGGCUUAGGGGGACUUACCUUCAAAGGGUUGCAAGGUCCCUGAGGAGGCUUAGGGGGACUUACCUUCAAAGGGUUGCAAGGUCCCUGAGGAGGCUUAGGGGGACUUACCUUCAAAGGGUUGCAAGGUCCCUGAGGAGGUUUAGGGGAACUUACCUUUAAAGGUUCCCCAGGUGGCGGUUUUGGGAGCCUGACUUUUAAAGGUUCACCUGGUCCAUGGAGGCGUCUAGAGGGCCUUACCUUAUAAGACAUACCUUUUUCCUGGUGUUUAACAUUACCCAGAGUUCCUGGGAAUCUGUUGCUCCACCAGCUUUUAAACUGGUUUACGAACUCCACUCGAUCACAGCUCCUUUUCAUUAUUGGUUCAGGAGGACUUACCCUUAAAGUCUUACCUGGUCCCUGAGGUGGUUCAGGAGGACUUACCCUGAAAGACUUACCUGGUCGUUGAAGUGGAUUAGAGGCACUGGAAAAAUAACAAAAUAAUUUAUGGUGCAGAUUACACAGAGCAUUAUAGAACUGUGUUACCAGGGAACUAUUGUCCAAUACAAGCACACAGUGAGAGCAUCAACAGUAAAAU
Long non-coding RNA from Gasterosteus aculeatus aculeatus (three-spined stickleback), 851 nucleotides. The record is from Ensembl. Lineage: Eukaryota; Metazoa; Chordata; Actinopteri; Perciformes; Gasterosteidae.